This 19-nucleotide ribosomal RNA is filed under the name Stylosanthes hamata (Caribbean stylo). RNAcentral's name for it is "partial large subunit ribosomal RNA". Lineage: Eukaryota; Viridiplantae; Streptophyta; Magnoliopsida; Fabales; Fabaceae. RNAcentral also lists the same sequence under 115 other names. The record is from RNAcentral.
GCGACCUCAGGUCAGGCGG